RNAcentral lists this ribosomal RNA (1424 nucleotides) under metagenome. RNAcentral describes it as "bacterial SSU rRNA". It matches the Rfam family "Bacterial small subunit ribosomal RNA". The record is from RNAcentral.
GCUCAGAUUGAACGCUGGCAGGCCCAACACAUGCAAGUCGAGCGGAUGAAGGAGCUUGCUCCUGGAUUCAGCGGCGGACGGGUGAGUAAUGCCAGGAAUCUGCCUGGUAGUGGGGAUAACGUCCGAAACNNAGCGCUAANNNCNNNAUACNGUCCUGAGGGAGAAAGUGGGGAUCUUCGGACCUACGCUAUCAGAUGAGCCUAGGUCGGAUUAGCUGGUUGGUGGGGUAAAGGCUUACCGAGGCGACGAUCCGUAACUGGUCUGAGAGGAUGAUCAGUCACACUGGAACUGGAAGACGGUCCGGACUCCUACAGGAGGCAGCAGUGGGGAAUANNGANAAUGGGCGAAAGCCUGAUCCAGCCAUGCCGCGUGUGGAAGAAGGUCUUGGAUUGUAAAAAGCACUUUGCUGGGAGGAAGGGCAGUAAGUUAANUNCCUUUCUUUGACGUUACCAACAGAAUAAGCACCGGCUAACUUCGUGCCAGCNGCCGCGGUAAUAAGGCGCAAGCGUUAAUCGGAAUACUGGGCGUAAAGCGCGUAGGUGGCAAGUUGGAUGUGAAAUCCCCGGCCCAACCUGGAACUGCAUCCAAACUACCAGAGCCNAGAGGGUGGAAAUUCCUGUGCGGGUGAAAUGCGUAGUAUGGAAGAACACCAGUGGCGAAGGCGACCUGGACUGAUACUGACACUGAGGUGCGAAAGCGUGGGAGCAAACAGGAUUAGAUACCCUGGUAGUCCACGCCGUAAACGAUGUCGACUAGCCGNUGGGAUCCUUGAGAUCAUAGUGGCGCAGCUAACGAUAAGUCGACCGCCUGGAGUACGGCCGCAGGNANUAAAACUCAAAUGAAUUGACGGGGGCCCGCACAAGCGGUGGAGCAUGGUUUAAUUCGAAGCAACGCGAAGAAUACCUGGCCUUGACAGCUGAGAACUUUCCAGAGAUGGCCUUCGAACUCAGACACAGGUGCUGCUGGCUGUCGUCAGCUCGUGUCGUGAGAUGUUGGGUUAAGUCCGUAACGAGCGCAACCCUUGUCCUUAGUUACCAGCACCUCGGUGGGCACUCUAUGAGGGGCCGGUGACAAACCGGAGGGAGGUGGGGAUGACGUCAAGUCAUCAUGGCCCUUACGGCCAGGGCUACACGUGCUGCAAUGGUCGGUACAAAGGGUUGCCAAGCCGCGAGGUGGAGCUAAUCCCAUAAAACCGAUCGUAGUCCGGAUCGCAGUCUGCAACUCGACUGCGUGAAGUCGGAAUCGCUAGUAAUCGUGAAUCAGAAUGUCACGGUGAAUACGUUCCAGGCCUGUACACACCGCCCGUCACACCAUGGGUGGGUUGCUCCAGAAGUAGCUAGUCUAACCGCAAGGGACGGUUACCACAGGUGAUUCAUGACUGGGGUGAAGUCGAAACAAGGUAGCCGUAAGGGAACCUGCGGCUG